AAACUAACAAGGAUUUCCCUAGUAGUGGCGAACGACCGGGAAUUAGCCCAGCACGAAUCCUGUACUUUGGUAUUAGGAAUUGUGGUGUAAAGGUUGUGUCUUUAAUUGCUGACGGUGCUCCAAAUUCACUUGAUUGUGAUGUUGUCCAGAGAGGGUGUUAGACCCGUUGGAGUACACAAAGUUGUUAUUGAUGCUUCCUAUGAGUCGGAUUGUUUGAGAAUGCAGUCCAAAUUUGGUGGUAAACUCCAUCUAAGGCUAAAUACUUGUGUGAGUCCGAUAGCAAACAAGUACCGUGAGGGAAAGUUGAAAAGAACUCUGAAGAGAGAGUUAAAUAGUACGUGAAAUCGCUUAGAGGUAAACGAGUGGAGCCGAAAGAGUUGUUUAGAAUUCAGUUGAUUGCUCUUUGUUCGUAGAAUAAUAACAUUUUUAUGGGAGUUGUUAUUUUACCUUUUAUACAGAUUGUAAUUGAUGCAUUUUCUAUUCAACUAUACUGCGACCAAUAGUGUUGAUUUACUGUCGUAAUUGUGAAGGUGAUCAAUUUUUCGAAAUUGGUUUUAUAGCUAAUUACAUGAUUAAUCAAUGUAUUGUUAAUUGCGAUUGACUAAUUUUAAUAAACUUUGAUAUGAAAUGUUUAUUUUUAGACUAUAAAUAGACUAUUUUUAAAUAUUUUAUGUCUUUGGUUGUUAAAGGGUUAAUCUAAAGUCCGCAGUCAAUAUGUAGGUUACCUACUUGUCCCGUCUUGAAACACGGACCAAGGAGUUUUAUAUGAUCGCGAGUCAAAGGGCCUUACGAAACCCCAGGGCGUAAUUAAUGUAAAGAUUCACUUUAGUGAAUUACAAUGUGACCUUGCGAUAAAAAGCUUGUGCAACAUUGACCCGUCUAAAGAUGUUCGCAUCUGGGCGGAGUUUGAGCGAUCAUGUAGAGACCCGAAAGAUGGUGAACUAUGCUUGUGCAGGUUGAAGUCAGAGGAAACCCUGAUGGAAGACCGCCGCGGUUCUGACGUGCAAAUCGAUCGUCGGACAUGAGUAUAGGGGCGAAAGACUAAUCGAACCAUCUAGUAGCUGGUUCCCUCCGAAGUUUCCCUCAGGAUAGCUGGCAUUUGUUGUCGUAGUUUUACCUGGUAAAGCGAAUGAUUAGAAGUAUUGGGGACGAAAUGUCUUCAACUUAUUCUCAAACUUUAAAUGGGUUCGAAGUGCAUCUCUCUUUAUUUGGAGAUGUACAUGGAAUACGAAUGCCUAGUGGGCCAUUUUUGGUAAGCAGAACUGGCGAUGUGGGAUGAACCAAACAUUUGGUUAAGGUGCCUAACAUCACGCUCAUGAGAACCCACAAAAGGUGUUGGUUGAUAAAGACAGCAGGACGGUGGACAUGGAAGUUGUCAUCCGCUAAGGAGUGUGUAACAACUCACCUGCCGAAUCAACCAGCCCUGAAAAUGGAUGGCGCUGUAGCGUGAGACCUAUACCAAAUCGAUAUCGUAUGCUCCUUCCUUUAUGGCAGGAGUAAGUAAGCGGGUAUCGUGUAGGAGGGUGCCGUGGUUGCUAAGAAGCUACCAUCCUGAGAUGGAGUGGAGCGGUCACGGGGUACAGAUCUUGGGUAGUAGUAGCAAUUAUUCAAGUGGAGAGCCUGAAU
This 1626-nucleotide ribosomal RNA is filed under the name Bipalium sp. MR-2006. RNAcentral's name for it is "eukaryotic LSU rRNA". It matches the Rfam family "Eukaryotic large subunit ribosomal RNA", at positions 62 to 1489 of the family's 3401-position model. The record is from RNAcentral. Lineage: Eukaryota; Metazoa; Platyhelminthes; Tricladida; Geoplanidae.